UACGGAGGGUGCGAGAGUUAAUCGGAAUUACUGGGCGUAAAGGGCGCGUAGGCGGCUGAUCAAGUCAGGUGUGAAAGCCCACGGCUUAACCGUGUGAAGUGCAUCUGAAACUGGUCGGCUUGAGUAUCGGAGAGGAAAGUGGAAUUCCCGGUGUAGAGGUGAAAUUCGUAGAUAUCGGGAGGAAUACCGGUGGCGAAGGCGACUUUCUGGACGAAUACGGACGCGGAGGCGAGAAAGCGGGGGGAGCACACAGGAUGCGAUAACACGGUAGUCC
This 274-nucleotide ribosomal RNA is filed under the name uncultured bacterium. Its description in RNAcentral is "partial 16S ribosomal RNA". It matches the Rfam family "Bacterial small subunit ribosomal RNA", at positions 524 to 796 of the family's 1533-position model. The record is from RNAcentral.